UCAAAUCCUGGUCACAGAUCCAGAGAUGUUAGGUCUUGUUCCAAACUUCUAAAAACUUCUUGGAGGACAAGGAUGGCACAUCUUCAGAGUCUAUCCAUAUCUUCACACCAAUGCCCUAUAUUCUGCCAGAGACAUUAGGUCUUGUUCCAAACUUCUAAAAACUUCUUGGAGGACAAGGAUGGCACAUCUUCAGAGUCUAUCCAUAUCUUCACACCAAUGCCCUAUAUUCUACCAGAGAUGUUAGAUCUUGUUCCAAACUUUUAAAAACUUCUUGGAGGACAAGGAUGGCACAUCUUCAGAGUCUUUCCAUAUCUUCACACCAAUGCCCUAUAUUCUACCAGAGAUGUUAGGUCUUGUUCCAAACUUCUAAAAACUUCUUGGAGGACAAGGAUGGCACAUCUUCAGAGUCUAUCCAUAUCUUCACACCAAUGCCCUCUAUUCUGCCAGAGACAUUAGGUCUUGUUCCAAACUUCUAAAAACUUCUUUGAGGACAAGGAUGGCACAUCUUCAGAGUCUAUCCAUAUCUUCACACCAAUGCCCUAUAUUCUACCAGAGAUGUUAGAUCUUGUUCCAAACUUCUAAAAACUUCUUUGAGGACAAGGAUGGCACAUCUUCAGAGUCUAUCCAUAUCUUCACACCAAUGCCCUAUAUUCUACCAGAGAUGUUAGGUCUUGUUCCAAACUUCUAAAAACUUCUUGGAGGACAAGGAUGGCACAUCUUCAGAGUCUAUCCAUAUCUUCACUAAUGCCCUAUAUUCUACCUUCUAAAGAUGACUUUCAUGAUAAGGAUGCGCCUUCUUAGAGACUUUAUUUUGUCGUUGGCACAAAGUCUUCCAAGAGGCCUUAACAAAAAAAUGUUUCAUUUUAAUGUUUGGAUUCAACCGUCUAUAUUCUCACACAAUUUCAGAGUCUUGACGGUAUCGAACGAUUCCUUAGCUUUUAGCAGUAUUAUUUUAAGAAAAUUUAAUUCAAUCAGAUUCUUUAGCUGAAAUGAAAAUCAUGUCUGUCAGCUGAAACCCUCUUAGGAUGGUUCAUGAAAUUAAUGGCAAUGUCAAUUAUGCUCAUCUUGGUCAGUACCCCAUUUCAGGUAUUACCCAGAAGAGUUAUUAAAUCUGUGAGAGUAUAUCACUUGAAACCUCAACUUAAUAUUAGCAUUUGAAUGAUAUCUUAAUUAGAUUUAUGACCUUGUAUCACUUCACACACAAUUUAAGUACUGUAGUGCAAAAUAGCUGGUAGUCAUUACAUAUGUGUAUCAUGUCAAUAUCUAGUUGUCAGGAUAACCAAAUAACCAUUUUAGAGAUCAAAUCAAACUUGUCUAAUGUAUGCUUACGGCAGUACAAUUAUCCAAUAUUAGAUGGUAGAUGUAAAUGUUUAGUGUGUAAUGUAUUUCUAAUCUAGCAUUGGGAGAGGCACAGAUAUUGACUGUGCAAUCUCAAGUCUCUAGUUUUUAAAAAAAUUUGAAUUGAAAUUUCUCUCUGAGCAUAAAGUGCCAAGUUUUCAUAUUUUAUGUUAAAAAAAAAGUUCUUUGAUGUGCAAUUGAAGCACUUACAAUUUUGCAUAUUUUCUAAACAGUUACAUUCAGUGAUGUUUGGUGUUACAAACCUAAUCAAGGUGUCAUUCAAAUGCUUUUGACUUGAACUGAUUUCUUGUUUUCCUUUAAUAUGAACAACAAGAAAAUUGUAUUCAUUUUUUGACAAACCAAGUAUUAGCCAGAUUCAUUUGAUUCAGGCUUGAAGCAACUUCUCAGAGGGGGAAAGAGUUGGUUCUUAUGAUCUGUCAAGGUCACACUGUUACCAUAUAGAAUCAGAUCAAAUGAAUUAAUACUGAGCUGACAACCAUUUAAA
This 1843-nucleotide long non-coding RNA is filed under the name Lytechinus variegatus (green sea urchin). RNAcentral describes it as "uncharacterized LOC121411911". Lineage: Eukaryota; Metazoa; Echinodermata; Echinoidea; Temnopleuroida; Toxopneustidae. The record is from RNAcentral.